This 993-nucleotide long non-coding RNA is filed under the name Pan troglodytes (chimpanzee). RNAcentral describes it as "long non-coding RNA NONPTRT014013". Lineage: Eukaryota; Metazoa; Chordata; Mammalia; Primates; Hominidae. The record is from RNAcentral.
UUCUGAUUCAUUGUCUCUUGUGAAGUUAUCAGUCAAACCAUCAGCUGAGACUGUAAUCAUCUGAUGUUUUAACUAGUACCAGAGGAUACACUUUCACAUGCUAUUGGCAGGACACUUUAGUUCUUCACUAGCUGUUUAGCAGAAUACCGCACUUCCUCACCACAUGUACCUCUUCAUAGAGCUUCCUGGCUUCCUCUAAAACAAGUAAUCCAAGAGAGAAGCAGAAGCCACCAUGGUUUUUUAUGCCGUUGUUGACCUAGCCCCCAAAGUGACAUAUUAUUACACAGAUAUGUAGCCAACCUGUGGGUCACUGUUACGGUUUGGAUGUGUGUCCCCUCCAAAUCUCAUGUUGAAAUGUGAUUCUCAAUGUUGGAAGUGGGGCUGGUGAUAGGUGUUUGGUUCAUGAGGGUAGAUCCCUUAUGAAUGGCUUGGUGCUGUCUUUGCGGCAAUGAGUGAGUUCUCGCUAUCUGAGUUCACACAAGAGCUGGUUGUUUAAAAGAGCCUGUCAUCUCUUUUGCUCCCUUUCUCACCAUGUGAUAUGCUGCUCCCCUUCUCUUCUGCCAUGAAGAAAAGCUUCCUGAGGCCUUCACCAGAAGCAGAUGCUGGUGCCGUGCUUCUACAGCCUGCAGAACUAGCAACUGGGAACCUAAUUCUGACCAACAAGGAGGAAUUGUUUGGCUAAUUGGAAGUGACAGAAACCUUGGGAGAAAGCAACCGCAUACCAAGGAUAAUUAUAAGAAGAAGAGAAGACAUGGAGAAGAGGAGGGAGUAGUUGUGACCGUGGAGGCAGAGAAUGGAGUAAUGUGAUCAUAAAUCAAGGAAUGCUGACAGCCACUAAAGCUGGAGAAGGCCAAGGACAGAUAUUCAAUCCUCCCGUAGAAGUACAGCCCUGCUAAUGCAUUGAUUUUGGACUUCUGGCCUCAGAACUGUCUGCAAAGCAUGGAAAUUUGUAUCUUCAUUCACUUUUGUUUUCAUGGACUCUUUUCAUGUUUG